Molecule: ribosomal RNA, 253 nt
Filed under: uncultured bacterium
Lineage: Bacteria
Description: partial 16S ribosomal RNA
Rfam family: Bacterial small subunit ribosomal RNA
Source: RNAcentral
UACGAACCAUCCAAACGUUAUUCGGAAUUACUGGGCUUAAAGGGUGCGUAGGCUGCGCAGCAAGUUGGGUGUGAAAUCCCUCGGCUUAACCGAGGAACUGCGCCCAAAACUACUGUGCUUGAGGGAGACAGAGGUGAGCGGAACUUAGGGUGGAGCGGUGAAAUGCGUUGAUAUCCUAAGGAACACCCGUGGCGAAAGCGGCUCACUGGGUCUCUUCUGACGCUGAUGCACGAAAGCUAGGGGAGCGAACGGG